Physcomitrium patens is the source of this 1567-nucleotide non-coding RNA. NCBI's taxonomy places the organism in Eukaryota, Viridiplantae, Streptophyta, Bryopsida, Funariales, Funariaceae. The record is from RefSeq and is a predicted model, not a curated record.
ACUCCUACAUUCUAUGUUUGUGGUGUGAAAGAUUCCUGUGUCUUCGGUGGUGUUGAUUCCUUUGUUUUUGAGCUUGAGUACUUGUUGUUAUGUUCAUAACUGUGUCCGAGGAAUUUCUUUGGGGCGCUUUGUUGAUUUUGAGUUCGUGUAGGAAUUUUACCGCUCCAUGCUCCUGUGCUUGCGAGGUUGUUGAUUUGUCUUUAGGGACUUCUGAAGAGGAGACAACAGCAGAAGAGUGGUCUAGGUUUUCAGAGAUUGAGACUUCCGAAUUGGUGUUGUCGCCUUCUGAAGAUUGUAGCCAAAAGAGAGGUGGUUGAACAGCAAGAUGCUGUUUUAGCUAGUGAGAUUAAGAAAGUGAUAGACUGUUUGAUUGAGGAGAGAGAUGUUCUAUGAAGUGUCCUGGAGGAGAUACGGGAAAAAGUUUCAUAUCUAUGUGGAAUUUCACCGGAGGCUAUGGAUGACGUAAUCUUUGUUUGUGCAGCGAGGCUGCAGUCGCUGAUUGUGUAUAUAGACUUGCACGGGAGUUGCGGCAAUGCAAGUCUGAGAUAUCACCAAAAAUUGCGGUUUUCCGGCAGCUAGUUUAUGUUUGUUGAGCAAAGUGAGGCUUGCAAAGUUGAUGUGCCCGAGCCUGCAAUGCCAGAGCCUCAAAAGAUGAACAGGAGCUGAAUUAUGACUAGGGAUGCCAUCUUGAUCUGGGACGUUUAUCUCAGCGUUGUGAGCAAGCGGUUCCGUGAUAGCGGUUGGCUUGUAUAGCCCAUUCGACUUUGAUCUUCUUCUAGAGGCAUCUACACGGUUGUGUUUAGUUUUGGUAAGAACUUUGUAUGUAGAGGAGUAAAAAAAUGCUAUGUGACUAGAAGCUGUGAGUUUUCCUAUCAAAACAAUGUUGUGGUAGAGACCUGGCACAUACUGAACGUCACCAAGGGCUUUUAUUUCACCAGAUGGAAAGGAUACCCGAGCAGAGCCUUCUCCUUCAAUUACAUGUGCCUGGCCUCCAACCGAGGUCACAGAAUCAGCUUGGGGUGGAUCUAAGAAUUGGAAUAAAUUUUUGUCUUCUGAGAAAUGUGCUGAGGCUCCAGAGUCGAAGAUCCAAUCUCUCUCUCUGGGGCCAGUUUCUAGGCUAAGUGCAUCAAGUGCGGCUUCAAUCAUCUCUUCAGAAGGAAGAUGAGGCGAAUAAUGCUCACCGAAUGUUUCUUCCAUUAAAUUUGCACCAUGACUGAAUUUGAGUCCUUGGUGUUGUUCCGAACGAUUUUCUCCCAUGUGUCCUCCUGAAGGUCCUCGGGAGAAAGGUGUGAAUUGAGCGAGUGUCGGUACUGGACAAUACCGAGAGGUAUGUCCUCACCUUUUGCUCUGUUGCAAAUAAUUCGUCCGGGUUGAAUUGUGGUCGGUGUUGGUGUUGACCCGGGGAAUCUCCCGAAGAUCAAAAGCCGUGAGUGUUGUGAUAUGGUUUAUAGCGACAUUGCACCAGAUUCCAAAUGCGCAUUAUAAGCGCUUCACUGGGCUCAUUACUUCGCAUAGAAAUAAAGUGUUCUUCAUUGUGGAGUCGAGCAGAUUGUUCCUCCAGAGACGA